UACGAAGGGGGCUAGCGUUGCUCGGAAUCACUGGGCGUAAAGCGCACGUAGGCGGGUCUUUAAGUCAGGGGUGAAAUCCUGGAGCUCAACUCCAGAACUGCCUUUGAUACUGAGGAUCUCGAGUCCGGGAGAGGUGAGUGGAACUCCGAGUGUAGAGGUGAAAUUCGUAGAUAUUCGGAAGAACACCGGUGGCGAAGGCGGCAUCCUGGACCGGUAUUGACGCUGAUGAGCGAAAGCCAGGGGAGCAAACGGG
Molecule: ribosomal RNA, 253 nt
Filed under: uncultured bacterium
Lineage: Bacteria
Description: partial 16S ribosomal RNA
Rfam family: Bacterial small subunit ribosomal RNA
Source: RNAcentral